UACAGAGGAGCCAAGCGUUGUCCGGAUUGACUGGGCGUAAAGCGCACGCAGGCGGUCUUGCGCGUGGGGUGUGAAAUCUGGCCGCUUAACGGCCAGGCGCCAUCCCAUACGGCUCGACUGGAGUGAUGCAGAGGUCGAUGGAAUUGCCGGUGUAGUGGUGAAAUGCGUAGAGAUCGGCAGGAACACCAGUGGCGAAGGCGACUACCUGGCCUGUUCUUGACGCUGAGGCGCGAAAGCUAGGGGAGCAAACGGG
Molecule: ribosomal RNA, 253 nt
Filed under: uncultured bacterium
Lineage: Bacteria
Description: partial 16S ribosomal RNA
Rfam family: Bacterial small subunit ribosomal RNA
Source: RNAcentral